UGAGGAACAUGACCUUCGGCGGGGGAUAGCCGGCCCAACGGCCGGGUAAUACCGCGUACGACCACAUGGGGACAUCCCUGAGUGGUGAAAGCAGCAAUGCGCCGAUGGAGUGCCUCGCGGCCUAUCAGCUAGUUGGUGAGGUAACGGCUCACCAAGGCAACGACGGGUAGCUGGUCUGAGAGGAUGGCCAGCCACAUUGGGACUGAGACACGGCCCAGACUNUACGGGAGG
This 231-nucleotide ribosomal RNA is filed under the name uncultured bacterium. Its description in RNAcentral is "partial 16S ribosomal RNA". It matches the Rfam family "Bacterial small subunit ribosomal RNA", at positions 118 to 348 of the family's 1533-position model. The record is from RNAcentral.